AGCUCCAAUAGCGUAUAUUAAAAUUGUUGCGGUUAAAAAGCUCGUAGUUGGAUUUCUGCCGAGGACGACCGGUCCGCCCUCUGGGCGUGCAUCUGGAUCGGCCUGGGCAUCCUCUUGGGGAACGUAGCUGCACUUGACUGUGUGGUGCGGUAUCCAGGACUUUCACUUCGAGGAAAUUAGAGUGUUUCAAGCAGGCAAUUGCCUCGAAUACAUUAGCAUGGAAUAAGAAGAUAGGACCUCGGUUCUAUUUUGUUGGUUUCUAGAGCUGAGGUAAUGAUUAAUAGGGAUAGUUGGGGGCAUUCGUAUUUACUGUCAGAGGUGAAAUUCUUGGAUUUGUUAAAGACGGACUACUGCGACAGCAUUUGCCAAGGAUGUUUUCA
Molecule: ribosomal RNA, 380 nt
Filed under: marine Metazoa environmental sample
Lineage: Eukaryota; Metazoa
Description: SSU rRNA
Rfam family: Eukaryotic small subunit ribosomal RNA
Source: RNAcentral